GAUGAACGCUGGCGGCGUGCCUAAUACAUGCAAGUCGAGCGAACGGACGAGAAGCUUGCUUCUCUGAUGUUAGCGGCGGACGGGUGAGUAACACGUGGAUAACCUACCUAUAAGACUGGGAUAACUUCGGGAAACCGGAGCUAAUACCGGAUAAUAUUAUGAACCGCAUGGUUCAAAAGUGAAAGACGGUCUUGCUGUCACUUAUAGAUGGAUCCGCGCUGCAUUAGCUAGUUGGUAAGGUAACAGCUUACCAAGGCAACGAUGCAUAGCCGACCUGAGAGGGUGAUCGGCCACACUGGAACUGAGACACGGUCCAGACUCCUACGGGAGGCAGCAGUAGGGAAUCUUCCGCAAUGGGCGAAAGCCUGACGGAGCAACGCCGCGUGAGUGAUGAAGGUCUUCGGAUCGUAAAACUCUGUUAUUAGGGAAGAACAUAUGUGUAAGUAACUGUGCACAUCUUGACGGUACCUAAUCAGAAAGCCACGGCUAACUACGUG
This 497-nucleotide ribosomal RNA is filed under the name uncultured bacterium. RNAcentral's name for it is "partial 16S ribosomal RNA". It matches the Rfam family "Bacterial small subunit ribosomal RNA", at positions 28 to 507 of the family's 1533-position model. The record is from RNAcentral.